This 233-nucleotide ribosomal RNA is filed under the name uncultured bacterium. RNAcentral's name for it is "partial 16S ribosomal RNA". It matches the Rfam family "Bacterial small subunit ribosomal RNA", at positions 523 to 755 of the family's 1533-position model. The record is from RNAcentral.
AUACGGAGGGUGCAAGCGUUGUCCGGAAUCAUUGGGCGUAAAGAGUUCGUAGGCGGCAUGUAAAGUCAGGUGUUAAAGGCUGAGGCUCAACCUCAGUAUGGCACUUGAUACUUGCAAGCUAGAAUGCGGUAGAGGUAAAGGGAAUUCCUGGUGUAGCGGUGAAAUGCUUAGAUAUCAGGAGGAACAUCGGUGGCGUAAGCGCUUUACUGGGCCGUAAUUGACGCUGAGGAACG